AGGUGUUGUGGUAUACACCUGUAAUCCUGGCAACUUGGUAAAUUGAGGCAGGAGGAUCCCCUGAGCCCAGGAGUUUGAGGUCAGCCUGGGCAACAUAGCAAGACCCUGUCUUUA
Molecule: small RNA, 114 nt
Filed under: Marmota monax (woodchuck)
Lineage: Eukaryota; Metazoa; Chordata; Mammalia; Rodentia; Sciuridae
Source: RNAcentral